RNAcentral lists this long non-coding RNA (328 nucleotides) under Rattus norvegicus (Norway rat). Its description in RNAcentral is "long non-coding RNA NONRATT005444". The record is from RNAcentral. Lineage: Eukaryota; Metazoa; Chordata; Mammalia; Rodentia; Muridae.
UGGGGGUGGGACCUGCGUGUGGACGUGCGGAGACGGGAGACCGGCCACGUUAGCCCGGGAGUCCGCCGCUGCUUGCAGCCGGGGUUCCUCGCCGCACGGACAGGCUGCAGCGCUGACCCCAGGCCGGGCUCUCAGCUAGUCAGCCGUGCCAGUCGCACCGCCUGUCUCAGGGUAAAAGCGGUGGGAACGCGUGUGCUUUGGGCUUAUGUGUGUCUCGACUGUGAGGCGCCUCGUUCGAAUUCUCCAGUCACCUGGAUCCUUCUCCUCCAAUCAGGAAAACCCAUUUGCCCCAGACUACCCAGAAAACAUUAAAUAGUACAAUUCCGUA